RNAcentral lists this transfer RNA (84 nucleotides) under Candidatus Iainarchaeum sp. RNAcentral describes it as "tRNA-Leu". It matches the Rfam family "tRNA". From Rfam's summary of the family: Transfer RNA (tRNA) molecules are approximately 80 nucleotides in length. Their secondary structure includes four short double-helical elements and three loops (D, anti-codon, and T loops). The record is from RNAcentral. Lineage: Archaea; Nanobdellati; Candidatus Iainarchaeota; Candidatus Iainarchaeia; Candidatus Iainarchaeales; Candidatus Iainarchaeaceae.
GCAGGGAUACCCAAGCGGCCAAAGGGGCAGGGUUUAGGACCCUGUGGCUUAGUGCCUUCGGGGGUUCGAAUCCUCCUCCCUGCA